CAUCACUACGCUAGAUGCAUAUCAAUAAGCGGAGGAAAAGAAACUAACAAGGAUUCCCUUAGUAACGGCGAGUGAAGCGGGAAGAGCUCAAAUUUGAAAUCUUCAAGGUUUGACCUUGACGAAUUGUAGUUUAAAGAAGUGUUUUCUGUUGAAGUUUCGGUAAAAGUUCUUUGGAAUAGGACAUCAUAGAGGGUGAGAAUCCCGUAUUUGACCGUUACUUUCCAGCUGUGUGAUACACUUUCAAAGAGUCGGAUUGUUUGGGAAUGCAGUCCAAAAUGGGUGGUAAAUUUCAUCUAAAGCUAAAUAUUGGCGAGAGACCGAUAGCGAACAAGUACCGUGAGGGAAAGAUGAAAAGAACUUUGAAAAGAGAGUUAAACAGUACGUGAAAUUGUCAAAAGGGAAGCGUUUGACACCAGUGUUGUUUAGUUGAAAAUCAAUUCAAUAAUUUUUGAUUUUGAGUAGUAUUGACUUCAUCAGCUUGCUGCUUUCUUUUCCGAAAUUAUUGAAUGCACUUUUCAGUUAACAAGUCAACAUCAAUUUCUUUUGUUGUAAAAGGGUAAGAGGAAGGUGGCUUACGCUUCGGCGUAAGUGUUUAUAGCCUUUUACCUCUGCAACCGGAGAGAUUGAGGACAGCAGCGUAGACUCCUUCGGGGGUUAGAUACACUUGUGCUAAGCUAUGGCCUUGUAUAGACAACUUGUUGACUAUGCUCAGUCAUGUAGCUUACUCGCUUGUGCUAUUUUACCUACGCUUAGGAUGUUGAUAUGCAUGACUGAUAU
RNAcentral lists this ribosomal RNA (777 nucleotides) under uncultured Neocallimastigales. RNAcentral's name for it is "partial large subunit ribosomal RNA". It matches the Rfam family "Eukaryotic large subunit ribosomal RNA", at positions 20 to 635 of the family's 3401-position model. The record is from RNAcentral. Lineage: Eukaryota; Fungi; Neocallimastigomycota; Neocallimastigomycetes; Neocallimastigales.